AGCGAACGCUGGCGGCGUGCCUAACACAUGCAAGUCGAACGGUUCUGUUGGGGGCUUGCUCUCGACAGAGUAGUGGCAAACGGGUGAGUAACACGUGGGUAAUCUUCCUUCGAGUGAGGAAUAACUUCGGGAAACCGGAGCUAAUACCGCAUAACAUCUUGGAACGGCAGUUUCAAGAUCAAAGGGGGCGCAAGCUCCCGCUUGAAGUUGAGCUCGCGUCCUAUCAGCUAGUUGGUGAGGUAAUGGCUCACCAAGGCUCCGACGGGUAGCCGGCCUGAGAGGGUGGCCGGCCACACUGGGACUGAGACACGGCCCAGACUCCUACGGGAGGCAGCAGUGGGGAAUAUUGCGCAAUGGACGAAAAUCUGACGCAGCGACGCCGCGUGGGUGAUGAAGGCCUUCGGGUCGUAAAGCCCUCGUUGAGGGAGAGAAAGCUACUGUCGGUUAAUACCGGCAGUGGUGAUAGUAUCCUAGAGAAAGCACCGGCUAACUACGUGCC
This 499-nucleotide ribosomal RNA is filed under the name uncultured bacterium. Its description in RNAcentral is "bacterial SSU rRNA". It matches the Rfam family "Bacterial small subunit ribosomal RNA", at positions 29 to 509 of the family's 1533-position model. The record is from RNAcentral.